Long non-coding RNA from Oncorhynchus kisutch (coho salmon), 3353 nucleotides. RefSeq lists it as uncharacterized. The record is from RefSeq and is a predicted model, not a curated record. The transcript has 3 exons. Lineage: Eukaryota; Metazoa; Chordata; Actinopteri; Salmoniformes; Salmonidae.
CCCGGGUAUCCUGGAAGGAUAUUGACCUCAUCCUUUCAGUAGAGGAUGCCUGGUUGUUCUUUAAAAGUGCUUUCCUCACCAUCUUAAAUAAGCAUGCUAAGAACAAGAUAGAGCACACAAAAACACUUUCAAACGAUCAUAGAUGACCAGCAGGGUCAGGUAAAGACCUUAAUGGCAUUAGAGGCUGCAAACAUUUCAAGACUCUAGGGUCAGAUGGCUUUCAUGUUUCUGUUCACCUUCCCACCCAUGGGCCAGACUACACCCUGCUACACUCAAUCAUAGGACUGACAGAAGAGAAAAGUCUUGAAGGUUGAGACUGAGUCUGAUUCUCUCACUUCGACAAACCAUUCCAUACAGAGGAGCUCUGUAGAAGAAAGCCUUGUCUCCAGCUCCUGAAGCCCUGCUUCCAAUUCAUCUGAUUGAAUUAGCAGAAAAGGAUCGUUGCAUAUUCACAAAAAUGAUGAGCAAAACACAUUCAAUCUAACCUGGAAUGCUGUGUAGCAGCACCAUCCUCCUUUGCCUCGGUUUCCUCCUUCAGGACCUUCUGCCGACGGAGUUGUAUUGCUGGUACUAUAACAUAUAUGGAGGUGAAUAGACAUUUCAUAGAUUGUUCAAAAUACAUCAGUGUUUUUUUUUAUUUUUACGAUAGCCCAUAUUAACAUUGUGGCUGUUAUCUAGCUACGUGGAAACCACAAAACCCUUAAGCCCAUUUGAAAAACAGUGUUCGUCAUAUUGCUAUCUUUACUUAGCAACAGCUAAUGUUACUGAUGAAUAGUCAGCCUAGUCUGUCUCGGUGUGCAUUGUUUGGGGAUUUUACGUUUGAUGAGGCCUACAACUUUUUUUGACAUAAUUAAUCAACACUAAUCAUGUUCAUUUUAAUGUUAAUUUAAUUAAAGCAGAAAGUAACAUACUAGAACACUUAGCCAGUAAACUAGUAACAAUUUACCCUUUCUCUCUUCCUCCACUCUUGCCGACUACAUUUCCUGUUAUUCGAUGAGUGAACAAUGGAAUGUUAUUACACUCAACUGGUUCUUGUUCCCAUGUGCAAAAUGAUAUACAAAAAAAUAGCAUGUUUUUGUUCUCCGUCCUUAUAGUAAGGUAUAUUAUGUUGAGCCGUUUCAGGAUUUGGCUGUGAUUAGUAUUAAACGUUAGUUCAGAGUUUUUGUUUCUUUUGCAUGUUAAUUGAUUUUAUCAUAUGAUCAUGAAUUUUUCUCAAAUAGGUAUUUACAGUAACUCAAAAGUACAUUGGCGUGCAAUUCACAAAUACACUAGAUCUUGACUAUACAGUACUUCCCCUGUAUACCCUACCCACUUAAAGUUGAAAUAAAACAAGUCAAAUGUACAACUGAAAGUAGAGGUUUUCUUGCCUUCAGAAAGUAUUCACACCCCCUUACUUUUCCAUGUGUUACAACCUGACUUUAAAAUGGAUUAAAUUGAGAUUCGUAGUGACAUUCGUUUGACACUGACACGUACAGUGUGAACUGUUGCUGCGUUUCCAUACCCUCAUGUUGCUCUAAUCAGUUAAGUAGAGCAUGAUAGCUCAGCACACAAAAAGCCUGUGAGAAGAUGGGUUUAGGUACCUUUUUUAACCACAAUGCUCUUUGGCUACGUAGUGACAUUCGUUUGACACUGACACGUACAGUGUGAACUGUUGCUGCGUUUCCAUACCCUCAUGUUGCUCUAAUCAGUUAAGUAGAGCAUGAUAGCUCAGCACACAAAUAGCCUGUGAGAAGAUGAGUUUAGGUACCUUUUUAACCACAAUGCUCUUUGGCUAUGUAGAGACAUCCGUUUGACACUGUACAGUGUGAACUGUUGCUGCGUUCCAAUACCCUCAUGUUUGCUGUUUGUGCAGUUUUGCAUUUUGUCAUUUGUAUUUGAUGUGUCUGUCUUUGUAAUUACAGGCCUCAUUAAGGUUAAAUAUAAAAUACAAGGAAUAAUACAAGAAAUCUUACAUAAGUGUUGAUAAACCUGUUGUGUGUUUGAUCUGUCAGUGCACAGCUUAUUGCAGUGUGUUGAUAAACCCGUUGUGUGUUUGAUCUGUCAGUGCACAGCUUAUUGCAGUGUGUUGAUAAACCCGUUGUGUGUUUGAUCUGUCAGUGCACAGCUUAUUGCAGUGUGUUGAUAAACCCGUUGUGUGUUUGAUCUGUCAGCGCACAGCGUAUUGCAAUGUGUUGAUAAACCCGUUGUGUGUUUGAUCUGUCAGUGCACAGCUUAUUGCAGUGUGUUGAUAAACCCGUUGUGUGUUUGAUCUGUCAGUGCACAGCUUAUUGCAGUGUGUUGAUAAACCCGUUGUGUGUUUGAUCUGUCAGCGCACAGCUUAUUGCAGUGUGUUGAUAAACCCGUUGUGUGUUUGAUCUGUCAGCGCACAGCUUAUUGCAGUGUGUUGAUAAACCCGUUGUGUGUUUGAUCUGUCAGCGCACAGCGUAUUGCAGUGUGUUGCAUAGUGAAAAAUUGAGGAUGACGUCUGGGGAUUGCAACAUUCCCCUUCUGUUUGUGUCUACACACCAUCUAGAAGUUUUGUUUGUGUCGUCUCUUUCUUCCUGCCUCCUCUUCGACCCUAGCCCAGAGUCCGUGGAUUACUCCACACUACAGAGACAGUAGCUGCAACAUCGCCCUUGCAAUAAAAAGUGCAACAGAUUGGCUUGUGAAACGCACACUCAGCCCUCUGAUUGGACCAGCAAACUGUGAAUCAACACAGGUCAGGUGAGCAAAGAUGAGCUGGACUGGAGCACCAAUGAGCUGAGGAACUGUCUCAGAGCCAUAGGCUGUCUGGUAGCCUAUGCUCAAUAAAUAUAUAUUUUUUAGACUACUUGACUUGAGACUUGACUUGAAAAAAAAACAUGUCUUGACUGGAGACAUGACCCCUUCUAGUACUACUUGGGCUUGACUUGAGACUCGGACAAGUUGAUACUUGCUUGUGGCUCAAAUAAUAGUGACUUGGUCCCACCUCUGCAAGGCAGAGACCACUAUCAUGACACACCAAAUGCCUUUGAUGGUCAAUCUGAAAUCUGCAGUGACCGUACAGCAUUUACUGUGAUAUAGCCUCAGCAGAAGUCAAGGCAUUCAUGCUUCUUGCACUUUGCAUAGCUGAGCAGAAGGAAGUUGUCAAGGAAGUGAGUUUGUGUUUAUACAUGCUUCAGUAGGCUCCGCAAUUGGGUUACACUCUCAAUACAGAGCCUAAUAGGCUGACCACACCGCUCGCGUUGCAUGCGCAAGCUUUACAAAAUAUAUUUAGAACUCUAUGUUAUUAAAUUAUUCCACCCACACUGCUCGCACGUACCAACGAGCGUCUGCAUUGCCAAGAGCUAAAAUAAAUGCAGGUGUAGAAGCACGGUGGCUAGGAAAAACUCCCU